AGAGCGUUUGCUGAAGCGGGCCGCUGCGGAGACAACUUUUGUGCUGCCGUUAGAGUUUUGGUUAUGGCUGAGAAAGGUGGUGGAGUCCUCACUUUGAAGGAGGCGGAGGGCUCAGAACAAAAACUGCCCUGCAUGAAAUAUACUGUAUCUGAUAACUCAACGACAGACAUUUGUUACAUUUUUGAGCAUUAGCGAGGUUUCACGGCUGGUUCAUAAUGCAGUGGGUAAAAAAAA
Fundulus heteroclitus (mummichog) is the source of this 234-nucleotide long non-coding RNA. RefSeq lists it as uncharacterized. The record is from RefSeq and is a predicted model, not a curated record. The transcript is spliced from 2 exons. NCBI's taxonomy places the organism in Eukaryota, Metazoa, Chordata, Actinopteri, Cyprinodontiformes, Fundulidae.